UAGGGAAUCUUCGGCAAUGGACGGAAGUCUGACCGAGCAACGCCGCGUGAGUGAAGAAGGUUUUCGGAUCGUAAAGCUCUGUUGUUAGAGAAGAACGUUGGUAGGAGUGGAAAAUCUACCAAGUGACGGUAACUAACCAGAAAGGGACGGCUAACUACGUGCCAGCAGCCGCGGUAAUACGUAGGUCCCGAGCGUUGUCCGGAUUUAUUGGGCGUAAAGCGAGCGCAGGCGGUUCUUUAAGUCUGAAGUUAAAGGCAGUGGCUUAACCAUUGUACGCUUUGGAAACUGGAGGACUUGAGUGCAGAAGGGGAGAGUGGAAUUCCAUGUGUAGCGGUGAAAUGCGUAGAUAUAUGGAGGAACACCGGUGGCGAAAGCGGCUCUCUGGUAUGUAACUGACGCUGAGGCUCGAAAGCGUGGGGAGCAAACAGG
Molecule: ribosomal RNA, 429 nt
Filed under: Bacillota bacterium
Lineage: Bacteria; Bacillati; Bacillota
Description: Firmicutes bacterium partial 16S ribosomal RNA
Rfam family: Bacterial small subunit ribosomal RNA
Source: RNAcentral